This 402-nucleotide ribosomal RNA is filed under the name uncultured bacterium. Its description in RNAcentral is "partial 16S ribosomal RNA". It matches the Rfam family "Bacterial small subunit ribosomal RNA", at positions 360 to 774 of the family's 1533-position model. The record is from RNAcentral.
AAUAUUGCACGAUGGGCGCAAGCCUGAUGCAGCAACGCCGCGUGAGGGACGACGGCCUUCGGGUUGUAAACCUCUUUUAGUAGGGAAGAAGCGAAAGUGACGGUACCUGCAGAAAAAGCACCGGCUAACUACGUGCCAGCAGCCGCGGUAAUACGUAGGGUGCAAGCGUUGUCCGGAAUUAUUGGGCGUAAAGAGCUCGUAGGCGGUUUGUCGCGUCUGCUGUGAAACCCCGAGGCUCAACCUCGGGCCUGCAGUGGGUACGGGCAGACUAGAGUGCGGUAGGGGAGAUUGGAAUUCCUGGUGUAGCGGUGGAAUGCGCAGAUAUCAGGAGGAACACCAAUGGCGAAGGCAGAUCUCUGGGCCGUAACUGACGCUGAGGUGCGAAAGCGUGGGGAGCAAACA